This is a ribosomal RNA of 740 nucleotides. It matches the Rfam family "Bacterial small subunit ribosomal RNA", at positions 67 to 820 of the family's 1533-position model.
CGAUGAAGCCCAGCUUGCUGGGUGGAUUANUGNCGAACGGGUGAGUAACACGUGAGUAACCUGCCCUUAACUCUGGGAUAAGCCUGGGAAACUGGGUCUAAUACCGGAUAGGAGCGUCCACCGCAUGGUGGGUGUUGGAAAGAUUUAUCGGUUUUGGAUGGACUCGCGGCCUAUCAGCUUGUUGGUGAGGUAAUGGCUCACCAAGGCGACGACGGGUAGCCGGCCUGAGAGGGUGACCGGCCACACUGGGACUGAGACACGGCCCAGACUCCUACGGGAGGCAGCAGUGGGGAAUAUUGCACAAUGGGCGCAAGCCUGAUGCAGCGACGCCGCGUGAGGGAUGACGGCCUUCGGGUUGUAAACCUCUUUCAGUAGGGAAGAAGCGAAAGUGACGGUACCUGCAGAAGAAGCACCGGCUAACUACGUGCCAGCAGCCGCGGUAAUACGUAGGGUGCGAGCGUUAUCCGGAAUUAUUGGGCGUAAAGAGCUCGUAGGCGGUUUGUCGCGUCUGUCGUGAAAGUCCGGGGCUUAACCCCGGAUCUGCGGUGGGUACGGGCAGACUAGAGUGCAGUAGGGGAGACUGGAAUUCCUGGUGUAGCGGUGGAAUGCGCAGAUAUCAGGAGGAACACCGAUGGCGAAGGCAGGUCUCUGGGCUGUAACUGACGCUGAGGAGCGAAAGCAUGGGGAGCGAACAGGAUUAGAUACCCUGGUAGUCCAUGCCGUAAACGUUGGGCACUAGG